RNAcentral lists this ribosomal RNA (522 nucleotides) under uncultured bacterium. RNAcentral's name for it is "bacterial SSU rRNA". It matches the Rfam family "Bacterial small subunit ribosomal RNA", at positions 19 to 518 of the family's 1533-position model. The record is from RNAcentral.
CUGGCUCAGAACGAACGCUGGCGGCGUGCUUAACACAUGCAAGUCGAGCGCGAAAGGGGACUUCGGUCCUGAGUAAAGUGGCGCACGGGUGAGUAACGCGUAGAUAACCUGUCUUCAUGUCUGGGAAUAAUACGCCGAAAGGGGUACUAAUACCCGGAUAUUCUUGCUUUUCAUAAGUUAUGCAAGCAAAGGUGGCCUCUGCAUAUGCUACUGCAUGAAGAGGGGUCUGCGUACCAUUAGCUAGUAGGUGGGGUAAUGGCCUACCUAGGCGACGAUGGUUAGCGGGUCUGAGAGGAUGAUCCGCCACACUGGCACUGGAACACGGGCCAGACUCCUACGGGAGGCAGCAGUGAGGAAUAUUGCGCAAUGGGGGAAACCCUGACGCAGCGACGCCGCGUGAGUGAGGAAGGCCUUCGGGUCGUAAAGCUCUGUCAAGAGGAAAGAAGUGUACAAUGGCUAAUACCUGUUGUAUUUGACGGUACCUCUAAAGGAAGCACCGGCUAACUCCGUGCCAGCCGCCGC